Molecule: long non-coding RNA, 309 nt
Organism: Synchiropus splendidus (mandarinfish)
Lineage: Eukaryota; Metazoa; Chordata; Actinopteri; Syngnathiformes; Callionymidae
Exons: 3
Source: RefSeq, a predicted model, not a curated record
CCGUUUAUUAUGGAGCGGGAAUUUAAGCGUCCAGCUCUAAGUCGAAGGGAUUCGGAGCAAGGUCAGAGGGGCUUGAACCCAAGACCGUCCGGGCUAAGUUGGCUGGACAUGACGUCAUGUUCGGCUGGCAUGGUUGCGAAAGCAGGAAUCGCGGGAAGAAUGAAGGCGGUUGAAACGAGUCUGAAGUGUGAAGCCGGGCGGCCAGCUCGUCCUCCAGACCGUUCCUGGCUCUGCUCUGGGCUCCAGUGGAGGGAAGGAGGAUGACGCCCUCCGUGGUCACCAGGACCAUCUGAGAAGCACCGAGGUAAA